AGUAAAAGUCGUAACAAGGUCUCCGUAGGUGAACCUGCGGAGGGAUCAUUAUUAUGCGAAGUGUGCUGCCCGGCCCGCGGUCCGCUAACAUCCCUCGUUGAAAACCUGGGGGGCGUCCGCGUGGCCAAGGCUCGCAGCGAGCUACUCCCUGUAAUAAAAAGUGCCUCCCGAGGGAGGUGGGCCUGCCACAGGCCCCGGGGUUUAGCGGAUCUUCAUUCAACCCUUUGUUGUUCAUACUCUGUUGCCUCGGGGGCGACCCUGCCUUGACUGGCUUGGGGGACCCCCGGUGGACAUAUAUCAAACUCUUGCAUAUCUUUGUCGUCCGAGUGAUUAUAUCAAUCAAAAUCAAAACUUUCAACAACGGAUCUCUUGGUUCUGGCAUCGAUGAAGAACGCAGCGAAAUGCGAUAAGUAAUGUGAAUUGCAGAAUUCAGUGAAUCAUCGAAUCUUUGAACGCACAUUGCGCCCCUUGGUAUUCCGGGGGGCAUGCCUGUUCGAGCGUCAUUUCACCACUCAAGCCUCGCUUGGUAUUGGGCGAUGCGGUCCGCCGCACGCCUAAAAUCGACCGGCUGGGUCGAUCGUCCCCUCAGCGUUGUGGUUUAUUCAAUUCGCUAAAGGGUUGUCGAUCGGUCACGCCGUUAAACAAGACCUCAUAUUUUAAAGGUUGACCUCGGAUCAGGUAGGGAUACCCGCUGAACUUA
RNAcentral lists this ribosomal RNA (700 nucleotides) under uncultured fungus. RNAcentral's name for it is "eukaryotic LSU rRNA". The stretch from base 350 to 503 matches the Rfam family "5.8S ribosomal RNA". Lineage: Eukaryota; Fungi. The record is from RNAcentral.